This 429-nucleotide ribosomal RNA is filed under the name Bacteroidota bacterium. RNAcentral's name for it is "Bacteroidetes bacterium partial 16S ribosomal RNA". It matches the Rfam family "Bacterial small subunit ribosomal RNA", at positions 355 to 776 of the family's 1533-position model. The record is from RNAcentral. Lineage: Bacteria; Pseudomonadati; Bacteroidota.
UAGGGAAUCUUCGGCAAUGGGGGGAACCCUGACCGAGCAACGCCGCGUGAGUGAAGAAGGUUUUCGGAUCGUAAAGCUCUGUUGUUAAGGAAGAACGAGUGUGAGAAUGGAAAGUUCAUACUGUGACGGUACUUAACCAGAAAGGGACGGCUAACUACGUGCCAGCAGCCGCGGUAAUACGUAGGUCCCGAGCGUUGUCCGGAUUUAUUGGGCGUAAAGCGAGCGCAGGCGGUUAGAUAAGUCUGAAGUUAAAGGCAGUGGCUCAACCAUUGUAGGCUUUGGAAACUGUUUAACUUGAGUGCAGAAGGGGAGAGUGGAAUUCCAUGUGUAGCGGUGAAAUGCGUAGAUAUAUGGAGGAACACCGGUGGCGAAAGCGGCUCUCUGGUCUGUCACUGACGCUGAGGCUCGAAAGCGUGGGGAGCGAACAGG